UACGGGGGGUGCGAGCGUUGUCCGGAAUCAUUGGGCGUAAAGCGCGCGUAGGCGGCCCCGUAAGUCCGCUGUGAAAGUCAAAGGCUCAACCUUUGAAAGCCGGUGGAUACUGUGGGGCUAGAGUCCGGAAGAGGCGAGUGGAAUUCCUGGUGUAGCGGUGGAAUGCGCAGAUAUCAGGAGGAACACCAAUAGCGAAGGCAGCUCGCUGGGACGGUACUGACGCUAAGGCGCGAAAGCGUGGGGAGCGAACAGG
RNAcentral lists this ribosomal RNA (253 nucleotides) under uncultured bacterium. RNAcentral's name for it is "partial 16S ribosomal RNA". It matches the Rfam family "Bacterial small subunit ribosomal RNA", at positions 524 to 776 of the family's 1533-position model. The record is from RNAcentral.